Girardinichthys multiradiatus is the source of this 397-nucleotide long non-coding RNA. RefSeq lists it as uncharacterized. The transcript is spliced from 3 exons. The record is from RefSeq and is a predicted model, not a curated record. Lineage: Eukaryota; Metazoa; Chordata; Actinopteri; Cyprinodontiformes; Goodeidae.
UGCAUCAUCGUUACAACAUAGUUUUUCUAACCAUCCCCAAUUUAGAAAUGUCACUGCACUGGAUGGGUAUUCUUAUAAUAAUAUGAUUGUGCAAGUUAACAAACAAAGACCUAUCUUUUUAGCUGAUCAAUGCCUACAUGAAAUGUUUGGAGAGAAAGCAUAAUACAUCCUCAGCAGAGAAAGUGCUGUGUAUCGACUCGUUUGGCAUGUCUGCUGUGUGGCCAAAACAAAUUCCACGCUUCAAGUGGGAUCCAACAGACUAAAGCACUCUGUAUGGCAUUGUUAAUGACAACCAUCACUGGUUUGUCAUUAUUAUAUUUCCAAAACAGAGAAAAUCUCUUCUUCUGGACUCACUUGGGGAAAGUAGUCAGAAGUUGAAGAGAUGUCAAGAAAUAUC